UGGGGAAUUUUGGACAAUGGACGCAAGUCUGAUCCAGCCAUGCCGCGUGCGGGAAGAAGGCCUUCGGGUUGUAAACCGCUUUUGUCAGGGAAGAAACGAGUUUCUCUAAUACAGAGACUUAAUGACGGUACCUGAAGAAUAAGCACCGACUAACUACGUGCCAGCAGCCGCGGUAAUACGUAGGGUGCGAGCGUUAAUCGGAAUUACUGGGCGUAAAGCGUGCGCAGGCGGUUAUAUAAGACAGAUGUGAAAUCCCCGGGCUCAACCUGGGACCUGCAUUUGUGACUGCAUAGCUAGAGUACGGUAGAGGGGGAUGGAAUUCCGCGUGUAGCAGUGAAAUGCGUAGAUAUGCGGAGGAACACCGAUGGCGAAGGCAAUCCCCUGGACCUGUACUGACGCUCAUGCACGAAAGCGUGGGGAGCAAACA
This 427-nucleotide ribosomal RNA is filed under the name uncultured bacterium. Its description in RNAcentral is "bacterial SSU rRNA". It matches the Rfam family "Bacterial small subunit ribosomal RNA", at positions 355 to 774 of the family's 1533-position model. The record is from RNAcentral.